Molecule: small nucleolar RNA, 107 nt
Filed under: Gossypium hirsutum (cotton)
Lineage: Eukaryota; Viridiplantae; Streptophyta; Magnoliopsida; Malvales; Malvaceae
Description: Plant small nucleolar RNA R71
Rfam family: Plant small nucleolar RNA R71
About the family: R71 is a member of the C/D box family of snoRNAs containing the C (UGAUGA) and D (CUGA) box motifs. Multiple nearly identical copies of this snoRNA have been identified in Arabidopsis, and it is thought to function as a 2'-O-ribose methylation guide for 18S ribosomal RNA.
Source: Rfam by way of RNAcentral
AUUCCAUGAUGAGGGCACUUUCGUAAUAACUCUUUAUAUCUUUCCUAUUCCUCAUACAAGGACUCAUCAUCCAUUUGUUGGAAAGUAGUGAUCUCGUUCCUCAACUU